RNAcentral lists this ribosomal RNA (192 nucleotides) under uncultured bacterium. RNAcentral describes it as "partial 16S ribosomal RNA". It matches the Rfam family "Bacterial small subunit ribosomal RNA", at positions 335 to 524 of the family's 1533-position model. The record is from RNAcentral.
ACUCCUACGGGAGGCAGCAGUGGGGAAUAUUGCACAAUGGGGGAAACCCUGAUGCAGCGACGCCGCGUGAGCGAAGAAGUAUUUCGGUAUGUAAAGCUCUGUGGGGGAGAAGAAGAAAGUCGGUGAAGAGCCGGCCCUGACGGUAUCCCCUUAGCAAGCACCGGCUAACUCCGUGCCAGCAGCCGCGGUAAU